Molecule: ribosomal RNA, 433 nt
Filed under: uncultured bacterium
Lineage: Bacteria
Description: partial 16S ribosomal RNA
Rfam family: Bacterial small subunit ribosomal RNA
Source: RNAcentral
AACGAACGCUGGCGGCAUGCCUAACACAUGCAAGUCGAACGAGACCUUCGGGUCUAGUGGCGCACGGGUGCGUAACGCGUGGGAACCUGCCCUUAGGUUCGGAAUAACUCCCCGAAAGGGGUGCUAAUACCGGAUAAUGUCUUCGGACCAAAGAUUUAUCGCCUUUGGAUGGGCCCGCGUUGGAUUAGCUAGUUGGUAGGGUAAAAGCCUACCAAGGCGACGAUCCAUAGCUGGUCUGAGAGGAUGAUCAGCCACACUGGGACUGAGACACGGCCCAGACUCCCACGGGAGGCAGCAGUGGGGAAUAUUGGACAAUGGGCGAAAGCCUGAUCCAGCAAUGCCGCGUGAGUGAUGAAGGCCUUAGGGUUGUAAAGCCCUUUUACCCGGGAUGAUAAUGACAGUACCGGGAGAAUAAGCACCGGCUAACUCCGUG